GUGAAAACCAGCAGCUCAACUGCUGGCUUGCAGGCGAUACGGGCAGACUUGAGUACUGCAGGGGAGACUGGAAUUCCUGGUGUAGCGGUGAAAUGCGCAGAUAUCAGGAGGAACACCGGUGGCGAAGGCGGGUCUCUGGGCAGUAACUGACGCUGAGGAACGAAAGCGUGGGUAGCGAACAGGAUUAGAUACCCUGGUAGUCCACGCCGUAAACGGUGGGCGCUAGGUGUGGGUUCCUUCCACGGAAUCCGUGCCGUAGCUAACGCAUUAAGCGCCCCGCCUGGGGAGUACGGCCGCAAGGCUAAAACUCAAAGGAAUUGACGGGGGCCCGCACAAGCGGCGGAGCAUGUGGAUUAAUUCGAUGCAACGCGAAAAACCUUACCUGGGUUUGACAUAUACCGGAAAGCUGCAGAGAUGUGGCCCCCCUUGUGGUCGGUAUACAGGUGG
RNAcentral lists this ribosomal RNA (447 nucleotides) under bacterium symbiont of Megymenum gracilicorne. Its description in RNAcentral is "bacterial SSU rRNA". It matches the Rfam family "Bacterial small subunit ribosomal RNA", at positions 594 to 1041 of the family's 1533-position model. The record is from RNAcentral.